AGUGAACGCUGGCGGUAGGCCUAACACAUGCAAGUCGAACGGCAGCACAGGAGAGCUUGCUCUCUGGGUGGCGAGUGGCGGACGGGUGUGGAAUACAUCGGAAUCUACUUUUUCGUGGGGGAUAACGUAGGGAAACUUACGCUAAUACCGCAUACGACCUACGGGUGAAAGCAGGGGACCUUCGGGCCUUGCGCGAUUGAAUGAGCCGAUGUCGGAUUAGCUAGUUGGCGGGGUAAAGGCCCACCAAGGCGACGAUCCGUAGCUGGUCUGAGAGGAUGAUCAGCCACACUGGAACUGAGACACGGUCCAGACUCCUACGGGAGGCAGCAGUGGGGAAUAUUGGACAAGGGGCGCAAGCCUGAUCCAGCCAUACCGCGUGGGUGAAGAAGGCCUUCGGGUUGUAAAGCCCUUUUGUUGGGAAAGAAAUCCAGCUGGCUAAUACCCGGUUGGGAUGACGGUACCCAAAGAAUAAGCACCGGCUAACUUCGUGCCAGCUGCCGCCGUAA
RNAcentral lists this ribosomal RNA (506 nucleotides) under uncultured bacterium. RNAcentral describes it as "partial 16S ribosomal RNA". It matches the Rfam family "Bacterial small subunit ribosomal RNA", at positions 29 to 523 of the family's 1533-position model. The record is from RNAcentral.